Molecule: ribosomal RNA, 1302 nt
Filed under: uncultured bacterium
Lineage: Bacteria
Description: 16S ribosomal RNA
Rfam family: Bacterial small subunit ribosomal RNA
Source: RNAcentral
CCCUUUGGCCUGGAAUAACACGAGGAAACUUGUGCUAAUACCGGAUAAGUCUUUACGGAGAAAGCUUUAUGCACCAUUGGAUGAGCCCGCACUUGAUUAGUUUGUUGGUGGGGUAAUGGCCUACCAAGACUGUGAUCAAUAGCUGAUUUGAGAGGAUGAUCAGCCACACUGGGACUGAGAUACGGCCCAGACUCCUACGGGAGGCAGCAGUGGGGAAUCUUGCACAAUGGGCGAAAGCCUGAUGCAGCGAUGCCGCGUGAGUGAAGAAGGCCUUUGGGUUGUAAAGCUCUUUUGUCGGGAAAGAUAAUGACUGUACCCGAAGAAUAAGGUCCGGCUAACUUCGUGCCAGCAGCCGCGGUAAUACGAAGGGACCUAGCGUAGUUCGGAAUUACUGGGCGUAAAGAGUAUGUAGGCGGCUAGAUAAGUUAAUUGUGAAAGCCCAAAGCUUAACUUUGGAAUUGCAAUUAAAACUAUUUAGCUAGAGUAUGAUAGAGGAAAGCGGAAUACAUAGUGUAGAGGUGAAAUUCGUAGAUAUUAUGUAGAACACCAGUUGCGAAGGCGGCUUUCUGGAUCAUUACUGACGCUGAGAUACGAAAGUAUGGGUAGCGAAGAGGAUUAGAUACCCUCGUAGUCCAUACUGUAAACGAUGAUUAUUAGAUGUGGGGAAUUAUUUCUCUGUAUCACAGCUAACGCGUUAAAUAAUCCGCCUGGGGAGUACGACCGCAAGGUUAAAACUCAAAUGAAUUGACGGGGACCCGCACAAGCGGUGGAGCAUGUGGUUUAAUUCGAAGAUACGCGCAGAACCUUACCAACACUUGACAUGUUCGUCGCGACUUUAAGAGAUUAAAGUUUUCGGUUCGGCCGGACGAAACACAGGUGCUGCAUGGCUGUCGUCAGCUCGUGUCGUGAGAUGUUGGGUUAAGUCCCGCAACGAGCGCAACCCUCACUUUUAGUUGCCAUCAUUAAGUUGGGCACUCUGAAAGAACUGCCAGUGAUAAGCUGGAGGAAGGUGGGGAUGACGUCAAGUCCUCAUGGCCCUUACGUGUUGGGCUACACACGUGCUACAAUGGUAUCUACAACAGGAAGCAAAACGGCGACGUUAAGCAAAUCCUUAAAAGAUACCUCAGUUCGGAUUGCACUCUGCAACUCGAGUGCAUGAAGCUGGAAUUACUAGUAAUCGUGGAUCAGCGUGCCACGGUGAAUGCGUUCCCGGGUCUUGUACACACCGCCCGUCACACCAUGGAAGUUGGUUACACCUUAAGGCAAAAUUCGUCAACCUUCGGGAGACAUUUGACUACGGUA